GUGUGUGCGUGACGCGUAAUCGGUGACCACGUAGCGGUGACAAGGCGGUGCUAGUCAGCGGCAGUUUUAGGGGAAACGGUUUAUUUUCAUAAAUAUCAGUCAACAUAAGCAGAUGCACACCGACGCGCCACAUCAGUUGCUACGAAUCCGUUCAAACGAGUUGUCGGCGUUUCUCGCAGGUGAGCGGUCUCCCAUGCGCACGCUUUUGGUGGAUUACGCGACGCGUUUCGACGACUUUGAUGACUUCUCAUAACUAAAUUUGGCAUCGACGUUAGUGCAAAGGCUAAGUUGGCCAAGUAAUUGUUGCAAAAAAAAAAACCAAAAAUAAUAUUUAGCUCACGGUCAAGUGGCGAAUGAUUGUGUUGAAUCGCAUUCAACGGAUUUAAGUUAGUUUUGACAUUUGCCAAAAGUGUUUGAUUGUGAUUGUGUGCACAUGGUGUACUGUGGAUAUACAAAUAUAUUCAAUACAUAAAUAAUUGUAAUAAAAUAGAAUAAAUAUUUGCUGAAAGUCUUAACAAAACUCAAAACCUUCGCAUCAAAAAUUAAUUUAUUUUCUUCCAAAAAUUUCGUCAUAAAUUUUAAUUGCUCUUAUCUAAUCAUAUCAGUGCGUUUGGGCUAACAUUUGUCAGAAAGUGUGUCAAUAAAUAUGUACGUACAUAUUUAGAAAUGCUGACAGAUAUACCUACAUGCAAACGUAUUAAAUGCAACACAGCUAAAAGUGAAUCGCGCAGUUAUCAGUAGCGGCCAAAAUUUGUCUGUGUAUUAGUGAAAGAGUGCUCCGGGGCGUAUGAGUGUAGAAAUUCUUGCUUAUUUGAAAAUCAAACAUAUACUUAUAUGUACAUGGUGUUUUUACUAUAGCAUUCAUAAGUAUAUCCAUAAGUAUUUUGAGAAAAAAAUCGCAUAGAAAUUUAACAAAUAAAUUGAAAAUAUUGUGAACCCAAUAAAUAUGUCAACUGCAGCCUAGACCAAAAAUUCCCUAUCUUCAGCCAUUAAUACAUUAUACACAAAACGAAGACUCCAAUGAUGAAAAUCUGAACAUUGAAAAUUUUGGUGAUGCACUUUAUAGGCACUGUUCCAACAAUAACAACACCCACAUCCAUCAUUUAAGCAUCUAGUACUUGCGGCAGCAAGACCACUGUCAUUCAUUUCGGUGAUAGUCACUGCGGAAGCGGUGACACAAACUACAACAGCAUCAACAAUAUCCAUAAUAACAACAACAAAAAAACUACAACUCUAACAAUAGUAACGCUGCCAAUACAAAAUUCCAACAGAUAAAACAACAAAAAAAAACGUCACAGAUUACAUCAACAGCAGCCGUAUCAACAACAGCAGCAAUUGCGGUAAUACGAGUUUUUACCAAGCUACAGGCAACACAAGCCAAUAACAAGAACAAUAACAACAGCGCUAACAAAGCCAGUUAUAUUAGGUUUUGCAGUAACAGUAACAGCAGAAAAAUGCGCCGCAAUGUAAAAUUCAUUGUUUUUGUUAGCAUCAUUUGGAUAUUCGUCAUGGUCUACUACUUCCAGUCCAGCACGGAAAAGGU
Molecule: long non-coding RNA, 1543 nt
Organism: Rhagoletis zephyria (snowberry fruit fly)
Lineage: Eukaryota; Metazoa; Arthropoda; Insecta; Diptera; Tephritidae
Source: RefSeq, a predicted model, not a curated record